UGUAGUCCUCCAGACAACAUUAAUCUAUCGAUGGGGCUGAAGUGAAGACGUGAUUGAUGCUGUUGCAGACAUUGGUGACAUAGGAAGUCACUUGCAUUUGCAUAGGAACUUUCCAGACAUCC
Long non-coding RNA from Nothoprocta perdicaria, 122 nucleotides. RefSeq lists it as uncharacterized. The transcript has 2 exons. The record is from RefSeq and is a predicted model, not a curated record. NCBI's taxonomy places the organism in Eukaryota, Metazoa, Chordata, Aves, Tinamiformes, Tinamidae.